This 469-nucleotide ribosomal RNA is filed under the name uncultured bacterium. Its description in RNAcentral is "partial 16S ribosomal RNA". It matches the Rfam family "Bacterial small subunit ribosomal RNA", at positions 28 to 507 of the family's 1533-position model. The record is from RNAcentral.
GACGAACGCUGGCGGCGUGCUUAACACAUGCAAGUCGAACGGAAAGGCCCUGCUUGCAGGGUGCUCGAGUGGCGAACGGGUGAGUAACACGUGGGUGAUCUGCCCCUUACUUUGGGAUAAGCCUGGGAAACUGGGUCUAAUACUGGAUAGGACCAUGCUGUAGGCGGUGUGGUGGAAAGAUUAGUUUCGGUAAGGGAUGAGCUCGCGGCCUAUCAGCUUGUUGGUGGGGUAAUGGCCUACCAAGGCGUCGACGGGUAGCCGGCCGGAGAGGGUGGACGGCCACAUUGGGACUGAGAUACGGCCCAGACUCCUACGGGAGGCAGCAGUGGGGAAUAUUGCACAAUGGGGGCAAGCCUGAUGCAGCGACGCCGCGUGGGGGAUGACGGCCUUCGGGUUGUAAACUCCUUUCAGCCAUGACGAAGCCCUUGUGGUGACGGUAGUGGUAGAAGAAGCACCGGCUAACUACGUG